GCAAAACGAAUUUUCUCUAUCCCCAAGAGGUUAUUUUCAGUUAUCAUUCAGUGACUUCUUCAGUACACUAAGGAUGCAUAUGGGUGACCAAACAACUAGACUGUGGUGACUGAUCUUGGUGCCAUGCUUGGAUGUAUUAAAAACAGAUUCAGCUUGCCACAUUUUCAACAAGCCGCCAGAUUGAUGGAUUACCACAAAAUAAAUGUGUAGGGGAGACCCUCAUCAUUUGAAGCCUGCAUUAGUCAAAUCAAAGCCUCUCUUCUGUCCGAGGCACUCACUGGCUGCCGUCUCUGACUCUUCCUACAUCGUGGUGUAAAGUGACUCCCUCGUGCUGACUCAUCAGUUGAAAUGUCUAGA
Molossus molossus (Pallas's mastiff bat) is the source of this 357-nucleotide long non-coding RNA. RefSeq lists it as uncharacterized. NCBI's taxonomy places the organism in Eukaryota, Metazoa, Chordata, Mammalia, Chiroptera, Molossidae. The record is from RefSeq and is a predicted model, not a curated record. The transcript is spliced from 3 exons.